Pungitius pungitius (ninespine stickleback) is the source of this 1083-nucleotide long non-coding RNA. RefSeq lists it as uncharacterized. The record is from RefSeq and is a predicted model, not a curated record. The transcript is spliced from 4 exons. Lineage: Eukaryota; Metazoa; Chordata; Actinopteri; Perciformes; Gasterosteidae.
UGUCAUUGUCUAAUGUCACUCUUCGUUGGUGUACGGUCCUCGGUUUGGCAGGACAAAACCAAUAAAGACCAAACUACGGCUAAAAAGAUUGAAUCAAAAGUCAAAUCCUGGCUUUUAUGAAUGCAGAGCCUCGUCCAGUUGAUUGACAGGAAGAGGUGGAACGCGCCUGGAAAGAGAGCAGGACGGGUUACAACACAACCUGGUCGGCGAGACUGCAACAACUUGACAAAUAGUACAACAGACACUUAUUAUUAUGACCAAUUUGGGGCAUGUGUUCACUUUAGGUUUUAAUAUUUAUGCUUCGUAAUUGAAUGAUUUGUACAAUAAAAAGAAUAAUAGAAGGUAAGACUAUCCCAUGGCAUUACUGUUAUAUGCAAUACUUGGGUCCAUUGUUCAGCAAAACCCUGGACUUUUAUGCUCUGCCUUUAGGAGGUUUUGUUCUUUUUAUGACCUAUUAACCUUCUCAGCCUUUUUCCCUGCACAGUAGUAACGGCUGCGGACCGUUCUCUCCAGGUGCUUGUUGCUCAAGAUGAUUUUUAAGUAUCAAUUUCUGGUGUCACCUUUUAUGGUUUUUAUUUAUUUGUCCGCUCCUUCGUGUGGAACAGAGCCUGAGCAUUACUCAGGUAGAUGGAUUAUAACUCAACUGCUACGACUCAUCAAUUUUAGAAAUUUGACUUCCUGAAUCUCAUACAACUGUUAGUGUCAUAUUACAGGACAGCAUUAUCAAGAUCAAUGACAUUUUAAAUGCUUCCCAUUUAAGGAUGAUCUGUGACAAUAAAAAGGUAAGUUGGUGAUGAAACUGUCUUAGCUGACGGACUCACCUGCUGGAUGGAGCUCACAGUUCCCUCAGAAGAGGUCUGGUUUAAUGAAUGAACUUGUAAUCACAACAGUCACCCUGCUAAAUGUCAAAUGUUGACCAUUAUUGAUCACCCAGAAUUAUUUAGCACCCAACGGCUUCAUCACAGAAUUUAAUCAAUGCAUACGUUACACUUGUUCUCGAAAAUAAUCCUUGGGGAAAUAUCUCAGAUAAAGUAUUUCAUAAUGUAAUUGUGUUGGAAAUGUAUUGAUAUUUGAACAUUCUGU